CUGUUCUGCUCUAUCUGUUAGACUCUUCAUAGUAAUUAAGUAAAAGCUCCAGUUCAAAUUGACAUGGCUUUUACAGAAGGAGAAUUCAUUGACUCAGAGAGGCUAGAAGAGAAUGAAACUAGAUAUCCUCUAAUUGUGUGCCAGGUACUCGGUCAUUGUGCUUUGACGCCUGCCUCCAUAACCCUGUCCUGGAUCCAAUUAACCAGCUGUGAGCACUGCCCUGAAGACACAGACAAGAGCACCUACUCUCAGGGACCAGGGACCUGGUUUGCUGAGGCAUCUGCAAACAUUCUCUUUGCCAUCCCCCUGUAUUGCCAAGAAAAGGUAGCA
This 330-nucleotide long non-coding RNA is filed under the name Homo sapiens (human). RNAcentral describes it as "HSALNT0384888". Lineage: Eukaryota; Metazoa; Chordata; Mammalia; Primates; Hominidae. The record is from RNAcentral.